UGGGGAAUAUUGGACAAUGGGGGAAACCCUGAUCCAGCAAUGCCGCGUGGGGGAUGAAGGCCUUCGGGUUGUAAAGCCCUUUUGGCGGGGACGAUGAUGACGGUACCCGCAGAAGAAGCCCCGGCUAACUUCGUGCCAGCAGCCGCGGUAAUACGAAGGGGGCUAGCGUUGUUCGGAAUUACUGGGCGUAAAGGGCGCGUAGGCGGCCUUGAUAGUUGGGCGUGAAAGGCCUGGGCUCAACCCGGGAACUGCGUUCAAUACUGUAAGGCUAGAGUGUGGGAGAGGUUGGUGGAAUUCCCAGUGUAGAGGUGAAAUUCGUAGAUAUUGGGAAGAACACCGGUGGCGAAGGCGGCCAACUGGACCACAACUGACGCUGAGGCGCGAAAGCGUGGGGAGCAAA
This 400-nucleotide ribosomal RNA is filed under the name uncultured bacterium. RNAcentral's name for it is "bacterial SSU rRNA". It matches the Rfam family "Bacterial small subunit ribosomal RNA", at positions 355 to 772 of the family's 1533-position model. The record is from RNAcentral.